UACGGGGGGGGCAAGCGUUGUUCGGAAUUACUGGGCGUAAAGGGGUAGUAGGCGGCCAACUAAGUCCGACGUGAAAUCCCAAGGCUUAACCUUGGAACUGCGUCGGAUACUGGAUGGCUUGAAUUCGGGAGAGGGAUGCAGAAUUCCAGGUGUAGCGGUGAAAUGCGUAGAUAUCUGGAGGAAUACCGGUGGCGAAGGCGGCAUCCUGGACCGACAUUGACGCUGAAUACCGAAAGCUAGGGGAGCAAACGGGAGUUAGAAA
RNAcentral lists this ribosomal RNA (262 nucleotides) under uncultured bacterium. RNAcentral describes it as "partial 16S ribosomal RNA". It matches the Rfam family "Bacterial small subunit ribosomal RNA", at positions 524 to 784 of the family's 1533-position model. The record is from RNAcentral.